This 496-nucleotide ribosomal RNA is filed under the name uncultured bacterium. RNAcentral describes it as "partial 16S ribosomal RNA". It matches the Rfam family "Bacterial small subunit ribosomal RNA", at positions 28 to 506 of the family's 1533-position model. The record is from RNAcentral.
GAUGAACGCUGGCGGCGUGCCUAAUACAUGCAAGUCGAGCGAACGGACGAGAAGCUUGCUUCUCUGAUGUUAGCGGCGGACGGGUGAGUAACACGUGGAUAACCUACCUAUAAGACUGGGAUAACUUCGGGAAACCGGAGCUAAUACCGGAUAAUAUUUUGAACCGCAUGGUUCAAAAGUGAAAGACGGUCUUGCUGUCACUUAUAGAUGGAUCCGCGCUGCAUUAGCUAGUUGGUAAGGUAACGGCUUACCAAGGCAACGAUGCAUAGCCGACCUGAGAGGGAGAACGGCCAACAUAGGAAUGAGACACGGUCCAAGCCCCUAAGGGAGGCAGCAGGAGGGAAUCUUCCGCAAUGGGCGAAAGCCUGGCGGAACAACGACGCGGGGGUGAAGAAGGUCUUCGGAUAGUAAAACCCUGUUAUUAGGGAAGAACAUAUGUGUAAGUAACAGUGCACAUCUGGACGGUACCUAAUCAGAAAGCCACGGCUAACUACGG